Molecule: small nuclear RNA, 131 nt
Filed under: Dasypus novemcinctus (nine-banded armadillo)
Lineage: Eukaryota; Metazoa; Chordata; Mammalia; Cingulata; Dasypodidae
Description: U4 spliceosomal RNA (ENSDNOG00000029248.1)
Rfam family: U4 spliceosomal RNA
About the family: U4 small nuclear RNA (U4 snRNA) is a component of the major U2-dependent spliceosome.
Source: RNAcentral
AGCUUUGCACUCAUAACCAAUGAGGUUUAUCUGAGGUGAAAUUAUUGCUAAUUGAAAACUUUUCCCAGUGCCCUGCCAUGAUGACUUGAAAUAUAGUUGGCAUUGGCAAUUUUUGACAAUCUCUAUGGAGA